UGGGAGGAGAACUUUUCUAUUCUAAGACAGGAUCUUGGGUUAGCUCAACAGAUCAGGAAUGAUCAGGAGUAUAAGACUUUCUUUAUAAUACAGAACAUUUACCUUGGAUAUCAAGGAGUGGCCAAGGCUUAAUUUAAAAAAUGACUGCUGUAUCCUACUGCUCCCCUCAAAACCUGAAUUUUUCAAGGACAUCAGAAAAAGCGCUUAAGUAAUCCUUGGCUUUGGGCCAUGGGGUAUGGUGUGGUAAAGGGAAGAUUUUGGAAUCUCAUACUAGAAAGAUAAAAAGAGGAGUAUCAGAGUGGCUGCAAUCCAGCGCUCUGCAGAAAGGUGGAGGUGCAAGUUCAGGGAGUCAAAACUUCGGGAAGCUGUGGAGGGGACAGAGAGCAAGGGUAAAAAGCAAGCCAGCUUCUCCUCUCCGGGCAAAGGCAAGCCUCUAGCUCUUGGCACAAAGGCAUCUUCACUGUGGCCUGAUCUUGCCAGCGUCAAUUCUGAGAGACUCUGAAAGGGGUGAGACCAUCAAGGGAGUGACUUAUCAUGGCUCAGUUCCCAUGUCAAGGGGCUGAGUUGAGCUGGGAGCCUUGGUGUCACCCAACAAUCACUGCUGGUGGUGCUGUGAUGAUGUCACAGAGGAGCCCCACCCUGGUGUCCUCGGAGCUGGACCAAGGACCCAGAAGGAAAGUCCACCUUCCCAGCACAGCUGAGCCGUCCACCCUCUCGGCUACUUGUCAGGCUGACUACCAGCUCAAAGGGGGCCUGCACAAUCCAGAAACAAUGUCAACGGACGAUAUGAGUAAGCCUAGCAACCCCAAGACCCCUGAGCCCAAGCACUGUGAUCCCAGGUGUGAACAGAAGUGUGAGUCCAGCUGCCAGCCCAGCUAUUUAAAGAAGCUGCUGCGAGGCUGCUCUGAAAAGUGCUCACGCGAGAAGUGUCCUCCACCUCCAGAGUGCCCGCCGGCCGUGCCCCCCCAAGCCCUGCUCCAAGCCUUGCCCUCCUAAGUGCACCCCUGCCUGCCCACCCCCAGAGUGAGGCACCAUGGUUGCCACCACCAUGCCGCCACCACGGCCCCGUACGACGCCUGCGGCUGGAACCCAAGCCCUGACCUGACGAGUAAAGGUGACUUCUGCUGCGCAUGGCCUCCCAGGGUCCUGGGGGGUUUGCUUUCCUCCGUCGUCAUCGUUUCAGAGCAUGGAAGCACCAAGAACCAAUCCCUAAGGAGCGAGUGGGACCAGAGUUCCAGACCUCCACUACCAAAGCCCUUCGAGUCCCCGCUGCCCUCUGUCCCUGUCUGCUUCUUAGAGGAAGCUGCCCGUCCUGCAGAGUGCAUCGCAGGAGCACAGGCCCCUGGGAGAACAGUGAACAUGGCGGCAGCUGGGAAAAUGCAGGAACCCCAGGGAGUGAAACGUAGAGGGCCUGAGAGGAAAAGCGGAGGCGGACUUUAGCAAACUCUUAGUACGGUAUCCUAAUGGCUAUGCAGAUGGCUCUGAGAACCCACCGUGUGGGUUUAAACUCUAGCUCUGUUUCCUAGCAACUUUGUGAUUUAUGCAAGUUAUUUAAUUUUUCUGUGCCUCAGUUUCCUUCUCACUGCCGAAGUUGCAGCACUGUUCUGAGACUCGGAAGCUGACAAAUGCCUGGUGCACAGGGUACUGGAACAUAGGGGUACUGAGUGGAGGGAGUACCCUACACUUGGCCGGGCCUAACACUCACACAACUUAAUUGCCUGCACUUUUCUUCCUCGACGAAGUGUAAGACUCCUGAGCACACCGGUCAGGCUCUAAUACAACCCGCUAGACCCAGCUGGACAGUCUCACAAAAAUAGAAAAGGAGUUGUAUCCAUUCCUUGGGUUUGAUGCUGAGCUAUCCAAUGAUGUAACGUCACUAUUGAGAGGGUCCCAGUGAAAGGGACACAGGAGCUCUACUUUGCAGUUUUCUGUAAAUCUGUAGUAUUUCCAAAUGAAAACUUAGAUACAAAAAACUAGAUAUGUAUGUGGGGGGACCCCGUUAGGAAUGGACAGAGAGAAGGCACUCACAGCUAACACCUUAGUGGGGAUUAUUUACAAAGAGCUAGAGUCCACAUCAGACUGGCUUAAUUCACAAGAGGGAAUUUACUGGCUCAUGUUGCUGAGGAUAUGCAAGAGAGACAUUAGCACAGAGAACUGCAGCAACAAGGAAGCCCUUCAGGGGAUGGGUACGCAGAUUGCUCCUCCAUUUUAGUCUCUCUCAGCGCCCUGAGAUAUAUCCCACCCUCUCCUAAUGUCUCCCCCUGUGCACAAAUUGGGUAUGAGGACACUCCAGUUGUCUCCAGGAAAGGACACUGGUGGCCUAGAAGGUCAUGUGCCCACCCCUUUAGGCAAGCAGAUGACAGAGCUCUGCCAAGCAGAUCAACCGAGCUAUGGAUUAUUACAGUCCACAGUAUCUAAAUGGAAGUAGGUUUAGCAUUCUCUACAGUCAUAGGAAGAGGUCAUAAAAAAGGUCAGCUCUGGGAUGUUCUCCAAAUCAUGGCAUAUCAACAGCUCCAUCCUCCUCAGGCUAGAGGACGGUUCAGGCAACAGAGGGUAUGGCAAGUACAGAGAGUUCAAACUAUGCCAAAAAAAAAAAAAAAAAAGAUACCAGAGACCCCCUUUAAGACCCAGGCCUUGUCAUCAGCUAGUUACAGAUGUAGGCCAUUAGAAGAGGGAGCAAGACAAUGACUUUAGGGGUCCACCUCCUCAUUUUUCAAAUGUGAAAACUAGUGGUUACUUGUCUAAUGUGAAGAUGACUUGAAACCUCAGGGUCUCUAGGACAGGAUGAAAGCCUGAUCCUAGGAUCUCACACUCCAGAGCUCUGUACAGUACUGUCUGCUGGAGGCCAAGAACCACUAGAACCCCAUGUCAGAGCCAUGCGGGCUAUGGUGGAUGGCCGAUGACCACAGGAAAACCCUCCCACCUCACAGGAGAUCAUAAAGAAGGAAGCAAAAGGCUGAAGGUGAAGCUCAGAGUACAGCAAUUGCCUAACAUGCACAAAGCCCUGAGUUUGAUCCCCAGCACAGGGGAUAAAGAGGAACAAAAAGGAAGAAGGGGAAGAAAGGAAGGGGGAGAGAAUAAUGUGACACCCUUUUGCAUCUAUUAAAUGAUCACUUUCAAUUAAUAAGUCCCAGAACUCCCAUGUGAAAAUUGUGUCACUGUCAGUUGGAAUAUAAAUAAAUAUCAUUUUAGGAAACAAUUUGUCCAACAAGAUAAUAGACAUCAAAGGCAUGAAGUGAUUCACUAUUUUGACUCAAAGGAUUUACUUUAUAGAACUUAGGGCCAAAAAAAAUUUCUAACUGGGAAGAAAAAAUAAUUGCAAAAUGGGAGGAAAUGCUGUAUAAACAAAAGUGAUCAUCAUAGUAUAACUUUAAAAAUUCCAAUAUCUAACAAUGCAUGAUUAAAUGAACACGAACCUAUUACUCCAUGGAGUAUUACAGUCAUUUAAAAUGUACUGAAGAGGGGAUGUGGCUCAGUGAUGGAGUGCUUGCCUUGCGUGCAGUAGGCCCUGGGGUCCAAUCUCCAGCAAGAAAAGAAAAAUGUACUGAAGAAAAAAAAAGCUCACUUGAAUGUGCAUCAUAAAACAAUUAUCUGUAACAAAAAGCUUCAAUGAAUAAAAAUAAUAGAAAUUAAUUUGUGAACAUUCUAUGUUAGCAUAAUGGGGUGAUGAGUAAUGAUUACUUUUAUUUUUACUGGUGUUGUUAAUAUGCUUUUAUUUUAUAACAGGAAAAAUAAAUAAUCAUGAAAUAAUAAUUCAUUAAAUAAGUAUGAGCACUUCAGAGACCUCCCCAGAGUUCCCGGAAGACUUUAGCAGAGUAUCUCAGGGGACGUGCACCAUGCAGAUGGCACCUCACUUGGGUGCCUUCCGCCUGGAGUACCACUGCCG
RNAcentral lists this long non-coding RNA (3886 nucleotides) under Heterocephalus glaber (naked mole-rat). RNAcentral describes it as "lncRNA (ENSHGLG00000035839.1)". Lineage: Eukaryota; Metazoa; Chordata; Mammalia; Rodentia; Bathyergidae. The record is from RNAcentral.